CAGCCGCCGCGGGAAUACAGAGGGUGCGAGCGUUAAUCGGAUUUACUGGGCGUAAAGCGUGCGUAGGCGGCUUCUUAAGUCGGAUGUGAAAUCCCUGAGCUUAACUUAGGAAUUGCAUUCGAUACUGGGAAGCUAGAGUAUGGGAUAGGAUGGUAGAAUUCCAGGUGUAGCGGUGAAAUGCGUAGAGAUCUGGAGGAAUACCGAUGGCGAAGGCAGCCAUCUGGCCUAAUACUGACGCUGAGGUACGAAAGCAUGGGGAGCAAACAGGAUUAGAUACCCCCGUAGUCCCUGUCUCUUAUAC
RNAcentral lists this ribosomal RNA (301 nucleotides) under uncultured bacterium. Its description in RNAcentral is "partial 16S ribosomal RNA". It matches the Rfam family "Bacterial small subunit ribosomal RNA", at positions 509 to 807 of the family's 1533-position model. The record is from RNAcentral.